UGGAUGCAACCUACGAGAGGGCAACUGAAUGACAGGAGGAUGGGGCUCUGACACUUUCGCUGCCAGGGAUGGGGAAAAAGGGGCAGCUGUCAUUGACGCAUGAAAGUGGAGGCAGGCUCCCUUCUUGCCCCUGGAAGUGCAAAGGUUCAGGAUGCCUUCAGGGCUCCACUGAGCAUGCGCAAGGGUCCCAAUUCGAAUCAUUGAAUCCCCCAUGGUCUGCACCGGUGUGGAACUACCAUUUGCACUCACUCCGCUUUCCCUGAAUCCACAUCACGUGACUUCCUUCAAUUCGAUUCCCCCUCAGUCCGGAAGGGUCACGUAACAGCGACCAGCUAAUUGUUGAAACAGAAGCUGCAUACUUUGGACUAAAUCUUAGAAGAGCAAACAAGGUUUUCCUUUACGAUAGAAAAAGCAGAGGGCCACAUGACAAUUAAAGACACAAAAACAUCCUCCUUCCGACACUCUCUCUUUCUCUUUUCCCCCCAGAGCCAUCUUGUUCUAUGGGGCAUCUCAAUGGGUCUCCACCAUCGAGAAAGCACCCAAAAACCCAAGAUGGGUUACAUGCCUUUCCCCACUCGCUUUGAAGUGGGAAUAAUGUACAUUUCCCAGUUUGGGAUCCACGCUGAAUUCGGCAUGAGCUAAAUUUCAACAUUUUAUCCGUUUACCUAGAAACCAAUUAACUGCUUUGAGUCAGGCCUAGUACCAUCUCUGGGUUUGUUCCUAAGCUGGCGCCUUUCAUGUUCACAGACCAGCGCAGAAAGAGACUCCCAACUGAGCGCUAGCAAAGACUUGGAGUCAGCCAACAAGAAGGAAAGCCAAAAGUCAAAGUUGGGUUGCCUGAAGAUUGCUGGUCCAGAGGGAGCGUCUGGCAUCCAUUACACUGGGCUGUUAUAUUUUAUUGAUUUUAUCUUUGCCUACUAACUCUAAUAUAUGUACUGUAUUAUCUUUAUUGAUGUAAUCAAUAAAUAAAAUUUAUUAUUAC
This is a long non-coding RNA of Sceloporus undulatus (fence lizard), 982 nucleotides long. RefSeq lists it as uncharacterized. Lineage: Eukaryota; Metazoa; Chordata; Lepidosauria; Squamata; Phrynosomatidae. The record is from RefSeq and is a predicted model, not a curated record. The transcript has 4 exons.